UUAAUAAAAAUUUACUUUAAUUAAUAAUAUUAAAUAAUUUUAAAUAAAAAUAAUUUUAAAAAUUUAUGUUUUUUAUUUUGUAUAAAUUAAAUAAUUUUAGUAAUAGUAAAUUAGUAUAGUAAUAGAAAAUUUAUAUAAAUUAUAUAUUUAAAAAGUAAAAUUAAUUUUUUGUACCUUUUGUAUCAGGGUUUAUUAAAAUUAUAUUAUAAAAUUUAAUAUUCUCGAAUUUUAAAGAGUUAAUUUAUUAUAAAAGAUAUUGUUGAAUAAAUAUAUUUAAUAAUAAAUUAGUUAUGAAAUGUUAUUCGUUUUAAAAGAUAUCUAGUUUUUUAAGAAUUGAAUUUAAUUCAGUAUUUUAUUUUUAUUAAUUUAUUUUGUUAAAUUAAUAAAUAUUUAAUAUAAAAUUUUUAAGGGAUUAGCUUUAAAAAUUAAAUUAUAAAUAAAAUUUUAUUAUAAAAAAAUAAAUAAGAUUAGAAAUUUUUAUUUUUAAAUAAAAUGUUAUAAUUAAUUAUAUAUAAAAUUAAAUUUAUUAAAAUUUUAAUUAUUUAUUAAAAUAAAAUUAUAAAUUAUAAUAAUUUGUAAUAAUGAUAAAAUUAGUAUUAAUUUAUUUAAUAAUAAAAAUUAUUUAAAGAUUAAAAUAAGGAAUUCAGCAAAUUAUAAUAUUCGCCUGUUUAACAAAAACAUGUCUUUUUGAUAAUAAUUUAAAGUCUGACCUGCCCACUGAUUUAUUAUUGAAGGGCCGCAGUAUAUUGACUGUGCAAAGGUAGCAUAAUCAUUUGUCUUUUAAUUUAAGGCUAGAAUGAAUGGUUGGACGUAAUAUUAACUGUCUCAUUUUAAAAAAAUUAAAAAUUUAAUUUUUUAGUUAAAAAGCUAAAAUAAUAUUAAAGGACGAGAAGACCCUAUAGAUCUUUAUAAUUAUAUUUAUAAUAUUUAUAUAGUAAUUAAUUUAAUAUUAUAAAAUUAAUUAUUUUAUUGGGGUGAUAGAAAAAUUAAUAAAACUUUUUUUAUUUAAUAAACAUAAAUUUAUGAUUAAUAUUGAUCCAUUUUUAAUGAUUAUAAGAUUAAGAUACCUUAGGGAUAACAGCGUUAUUUUUUUAGAGAGUUCAUAUCGAUAAAAAAGAUUGCGACCUCGAUGUUGAAUUAAAGAAAUUUUUAAAUGUAGAAGUUUAAAGAAAUAGGUCUGUUCGACCUUUAAAUCUUUACAUGAUUUGAGUUCAGACCGGCGUAAGCCAGGUCGGUUUCUAUCCUUAAUUAAUUAUUAUAUUUUAGUACGAAAGGACCAAAUAUAAGAAAUAAUUUAUAUAUAUUGAAUAAUAUUAAUAU
Molecule: ribosomal RNA, 1320 nt
Filed under: Nymphes myrmeleonoides
Lineage: Eukaryota; Metazoa; Arthropoda; Insecta; Neuroptera; Nymphidae
Description: 16S ribosomal RNA
Rfam family: Archaeal large subunit ribosomal RNA (bases 1074-1233)
Source: RNAcentral